RNAcentral lists this ribosomal RNA (699 nucleotides) under Triticum aestivum (bread wheat). Its description in RNAcentral is "partial small subunit ribosomal RNA". Lineage: Eukaryota; Viridiplantae; Streptophyta; Magnoliopsida; Poales; Poaceae. The record is from RNAcentral.
AUGGCACUUUUCGAGGAGUUCUACGUAGGCUCCAUCGACUUGGCCCGGCUCUACUACGGGAUCAUCACCCUCAUCCCUAAGGCGUCGGGCGCAUCGGACAUCCACCAUAUCUUUCCGAUCACGGUGAUCAAUGUGAUCUUCCGCAUUCUAGCAAAGGGGUACGCCAAUAGGGUGACCUCGCUCGACGACCACAUCACCCACCCCAAUCAGUCGACCUUUAUUCAAGGCCGAAAUAUUAUGGAUGGGAUCCUGGUGUUCCACGAAGUCCUUCAUGAGGUCUGCACCAAGCAGAUGAAGGUGGUCUUCUUGAAGAUUGACUUCCAUAAAGCCUACAACACUGUUCACUGGCCCUUCCUUCGGGAAGUUUUGAUUCGUAAGGGAUUUGAUGACCGUUGGGUCACCUGGGGUCAUGAAGAUGGUUUCUUUUGGACAUACCCGGUGAACAUUAAUGGGGAGAUCGACCAAUUCUUCCCCAUCAACUGUGGGGUUAGACAGGGCGACCCAUUCUCCCCCUUUCUGUUCAAUAUAGUUGUCGACGCCCUUGCGUCCAUUCUAGACAAGGCCAAAGUUGUGGCCCACAUCUGUGGGGUUGUUCCGCAUCUUGUGGGAGGUGGAGGGGUCUCCCUCCUUUGGUAUGUCGACGACAACAUAAUCAUGGUCGAAGGUUCUGCGACCAACAUUGCUCAUGUGAAAUUCUAG